AAGUCGUAACAAGGUUUCCGUAGGUGAACCUGCGGAAGGAUCAUUAAAUGAAGCAACCUAGGAGCCUGAGAUAUGGCUGCUAGGAACACCUUCCACCCUUUGUUUACUACACUUUGUUGCUUUGGCAGGCCUGCCUCUAGGCUGCUGGCUCAUGCCGGCCCGUGCCUGCCAGAGGACCCUCAAACUCUGUUUGUCUGUAACGUCUGAGUACUAUAUAAUAGUUAAAACUUUCAACAACGGAUCUCUUGGUUCUG
Molecule: unclassified non-coding RNA, 254 nt
Filed under: [Chrysosporium] pseudomerdarium
Lineage: Eukaryota; Fungi; Ascomycota; Leotiomycetes; Thelebolales; Pseudeurotiaceae
Description: Chrysosporium pseudomerdarium partial internal transcribed spacer region
Rfam family: Eukaryotic small subunit ribosomal RNA (bases 1-46)
Source: RNAcentral